This 31-nucleotide non-coding RNA is filed under the name Mus musculus (house mouse). The record is from RNAcentral. Lineage: Eukaryota; Metazoa; Chordata; Mammalia; Rodentia; Muridae.
UAAGUAUUUUAUUUUGACCACAGCCAACAGA